GGUUUGUAGCUCAGUGGGAGAGCACAUGCCUAACAUGUGUGAGGCACUAGGUUCAAUUCUCAGCACUG
RNAcentral lists this transfer RNA (68 nucleotides) under Marmota monax (woodchuck). Its description in RNAcentral is "tRNA.Val". The stretch from base 5 to 65 matches the Rfam family "tRNA", at positions 6 to 65 of the family's 71-position model. From Rfam's summary of the family: Transfer RNA (tRNA) molecules are approximately 80 nucleotides in length. Their secondary structure includes four short double-helical elements and three loops (D, anti-codon, and T loops). The record is from RNAcentral. Lineage: Eukaryota; Metazoa; Chordata; Mammalia; Rodentia; Sciuridae.